RNAcentral lists this long non-coding RNA (7712 nucleotides) under Lactuca sativa (garden lettuce). Its description in RNAcentral is "long non-coding RNA (LSAT_LNC004212)". Lineage: Eukaryota; Viridiplantae; Streptophyta; Magnoliopsida; Asterales; Asteraceae. The record is from RNAcentral.
GAUCCUUGGAAAAGGAAAGGUCAUGGGUUAUUAGGGUUUCACCCUAACCAUGCACACUAUAUAAGCAUGCUUAUGGAGCAUGAAAUGGCAACUAGUGAACUAGUGUGUGUGUGCUUGUGUGUGGCCAAAAAUACAAGUGUGUAUACUCUCUCAAAGUUUUCCAAGAGUUUGUGGUGUUUUGUGAUUCCAUUUGAGGCAUUCACACUAUUGGUGCUUGGCCCUCAAACUCCUUAAGAACCAAACUCAUCAAAAAGGUAUGUAAUCUCUUCUAACUCUUUUAUGUUGAAAUGUUCCCCAUGCCAUGUUAGAUAGGUUAUGAACCUUGGAAAAUUAUUAUUUUGCAUGUAUUUAGACAAACAUAGAUCCAAGGUUUAUUAGGGUUGCAUGCACACUUAGGAAGUGUUAGAUUGCUCAAAACCCAACAGUGGUAUCAGAGCCUAGGCUUGCUUGUUUGAUACUUGAUGCAAAAUAGUGAAAAAAGUUGAAAUUGUUGCUGUCUGGCUGAUGGACUCGCCGAGUCCAUGGGGGGACUCGCCGAGUUCAAGGCAAAAUUCAUCCUACUCGGCGAGUAGGUUCGUGCACUCGGCGAGUAGAAUGAUCAGAAUGCAGAAUUUCGACUUUUGCUGCUGGAAAUGGACUAGAAACAUUACCCUAAACUGUUUUGGUGUUUUAAAACUUGUUUUAGUUGGUGUAAUGGUUGUUCUAAUCCAUUUACAAUAGCAUAUAUCAAAAUUCCAUGAUUUUUAUGUGUUCAUAUAAUUCUUGAAAUUUUGAUGAUCAUGUUCAUGUUCUUAUGAAUUUAGAAGAUGAUAGGAAUUAUUUGCUGAAUUGUUUAGAAUUAAUUCUUGAUCAUUUAUGUGUUUUAAUGGAGUCCAUAAUUUGUCCUCAAGUUAUGGAUAUCCAAAGGUCACUUUUCUUUAACACACACAUUUAAACACAUAAGUUACAUGAAAAUGAAGAGUCUUCAUUUUUAUGAACCUUUAAUUCAUAAGUUAUGAAAUGAAAAGUUUUGGAUAGUUACAAAACUUGCCCUCAAGUUUUGGAAUUUGAAAAGUUUCACACACUUUAAUAAACUUUAAUUCCAACACUUAGAGUUUUAAAAGUUAAAAUUCAACACUUAUACUAUUUAUAACAUUAAUGGUUAAUUAUUAUAUAUAUGUAUAAGAACAAGUCGUUUUACCGUUAGUAGGCCUCAUUCACGAAGCCGGUCUAUAAGGUGGGUAUAAGGUUGUUGCCUAUAAAAUGGCGACUUAAUGGGUGUCCACUCUCACCCACCGCUUGCUUGAUCGGUGGAGGGUCGUUAGCCGAACGGGUAGGACAAUGACUUUAAAUUCUCAUUAAAAGUAUAAUGAUUAUUAUAAAGUAACUAAAAAUUUUUUAUUUAAUUCCCAAUCUUAGUUACUUUAGGAAAAAUGUGAAUUUGGUGCUAGCCCAUGGAAUUCACACUUUGUACCUUACCAAGUCGUUGGUGGAGCGUGUGUGGUUAACCGGCACACUAACUUGGACUAGUAAGGAUCACGAAGGGUGACUUAAUGUUUGUCAUAGAUCAAUGGAGCGUGUGUGGUUAACCGGCACAUUGAUUAGGUGAUAAUAUUAAGGGUACCAAGUGAAUUGGUAUGGUUAUUCACACCUUGUUUUGUGAUCCUCGGCAUCCCAGUCACAAAAUUUGAGAGGGCACACUCGAGAUUGAAACAUGCCAUUGAAAAGUUCAAUGAAUCUCAAAAGAUCUAGGAAUUUCAAAUCCAAUUAAAACCUAAUAAAUUAUUUCGUUUUUCAUGGUGGAAAUUGGUGAAUCGUCAUUCGCCUACCUUCAAAUAUUUUAUAGCUUGGAUUACGGCAUCCCUCUUCCAAAUUAUAAAAUAUUGUGUUGGGUCCUAGCCUUAAUAUUUCAUAUUGGGUGUUAUAUUAAGGACUUUGAAUCAACUAACUUGAUUUUCUCCCAUUAUAGAUGUCUGGUUCAGACAACUAUGAUCUUCCCAAAUCUCUUGAAGAUGGUGUCCCUCAACAUCAUGCUUCACUUCCUCCACCUCCUCCAAUUAUUCUCCCUCACCCACAAGUUCUUGAAAAGUUUAAAGUCACUCAAUCCCUAUUGGCAAGCAUAGUCUAUGUGUGCUCACAUCUUGGAGAUAAAGUCACAUAUUGACAAGCCGGGAGAGUUGGGUGUCAAAGUCUCGUGAAAGUUGGAUGUUCAAUCACUUUCUUAGUAACAUAGUGAGUCUCUUUGGGACUACUAUGAGACAGACUAUGACAUGACCCUUAAUGAUGUUAUCUAUUUGCUUGGUGUUGUGGAAUCAGCAAUGAUUUGGAACACCAGUAAAGCAAAUUUGAUUAAAAGAACAACUUCCCAAGUCUUAAAUGGACAUUGACAAUGGUAGCAUUGGAUAUCUAGAAAAGGAUUUCUCUUCCCAAUGGAAAGGGAUCGGCCAUAGUCAACUCGGUUGACCAAAUGGUAAAGAGAAAGGCUAAGUCUGAGAUAGUCUCAUGUGCCAUUACCAAAGGGUCCAUGUGUUUUGUUGCCAAAGGAAGGGGCAUUGGUUGCGAAGCUGCCCUAUUCACCUGAAAGGUCAUAAGGUUGAUCAAGUCAAGAGGUUUGACUCUACUUCGGGUAAAGUCCACUGUCUAACUCUAUUAAGUUCCUAUUUGGAGAUUCUUAUUACAUAAUGUGAAUGGGUCACAUGCUGAUGUUUUUAAGAAUCAAAGAAAAGAUAGGAAGCUUAAAGUAAGUAUAUGUUGAUUCUGAUUGCGAAGGUGGGUUUCGAUCGCAUGGUUCGGUAAUCAGAAUUUUGAGCUGUUGCUUAAGAGUUAUAAUAUAUUGCUUAUGAAUAGAUAACAACAAGGUUUUCAUGUGGAUUGUAAGGAUAAGUUUUUCCGCAAAGUUUUAAAAAAAAAAAAAAAAAGGGUUUUAAUUUUAUUUAUUUUAAAAAUAUCCUUACAAUGGCAUCUGUGGAAAAUUGUUGCUUAUAUGUUUCCAGUAAUAGCAAUAUUGGAAAGUGGAUUUGAUUCUUUCAUUUGUGGUAGUGUCUGAAUUUACCAAAUGAAGAAAGUUUUUCAUCACCCAAGUUUCAAUUGGACAGAAACUUGGAAUCAUACAAGUUGUAUUGUAUGAUGAAUGAGAAUUUUCAUCUUUGAAAAUUAAGACUAAUUCUUUGAUCACAUGUAUAUGUGAGUCAAUUGAAGGACUAAGGAAUUAGGUACACUGGGUGUGCGCUGGUCAAGGUCCACCACAAAGAUUGAUUUGUCAUGAUUUACUAAAGAUUAGUAAAUAUGAUUAUACUUAUGAGGUUAAGUAUAAUUCUGUAACAUUGGAAAGGUUACAAUGUAUGACAAAACAAAUGAGAAGAAUCAAAUUAGGCAGAAAGAUAAAAGUUUCUCAAAUCUGAAAGGAUGGGAGAGUACUUUAGUAUCGUAUUUCAUGAUCAUCUUAAUGAUUAUGAAACCAUAUCACAAAUUCAUACUCUAAGGACGUCUUAGUGCAUUGUUAUGGCUAAGAAGAGAGGUCAUGAAUUGUUGGAUUGGUUAAAAUCAAGAAGAUGAGUCAUACUUCGUUCCAAAACAAUUCUUAGAGUCAUACUCCAAGAUUGUAACUUUGAGUGACAUAAAGGAAGAUUUAUUAACACUAGUCAAAUGUAAGAGUAAAAUGUUUUCUACUCUUGUACAUUUGAGAUUGGUAAGUUGUGAUGUCUUGGAUGAGACAAAGACCAACUAAGACCAAUUGUGUGAAGUGUUAGUCUUGAUAAGAAUCCGCACUAUCCCUUGAAUAUUUGUUUUGUCAAGGAAUGGUUCUUGACUGGGGAAACUUAUAUGUCAAGGGGACAGUGGGAGCCUUAAAGAUCCUGAAAGAGUUUCAAGAUUUAAUCAAGAGUAAAACCUGUAAUUUAUCACUAGCACACGACUUAAGGUUUGCAACCUAUCGUGUUGACAUAAUUCUUAUUUCUGUACCUACUUCAAAUAAGUUGAAUUUGCAUGUGAGUUAUCAGAGUUCAACUUGGAAGCAUUGGUGGGCCUUGUGCUACCAAGGUGACAAGAAACUAAGAUUGAACAAGUUUAAUCCAUGUAAGGCUGAAUUUGUCACUAACCUUAUCUUGUGAUUAUGGUUUUGACAAAUUCACAUGGAUAGGAACUCAUACACUAUAAAAUCUAAGUGUCAUAAGGUUUCUCUCCGAUUCAUGAAAAUGAUGGUGAGGAAACGCUUUCACUAAGUAGAUUUUACGUAGAUAUCAAUUGUGUUAUUUGCAUUUUCAAAAGUCGUUAGUGGAGCGCGUGUGGUUAACCGGCACACUAACAUGGACUUGUGAGAAAUGGCAAAUGCCUAAGCAAUUGAGACUAUGAUUACGGCAUCCCUUUUCAUAGUUCUGAAAAUUGUUUAGACACACAUGUGAGCUAUCUAAGAAAGGGUGUAUGAAUCUAAAUUUCAGAAGUCCAGCAGAUUUCUGGAAAUAUGUCAGAGCUAGUGGGAGCAUAAGUGUUAUGCUGAUAAUCAUCAUGUUAGUGGGAGCAUGAUUAUUACGUUUAGUGUUGCAAGUUAGCAAUGUUAAUUAUAGAAAACAAAGUUUCAAUUCGUGAAGUUGCAGGGGUUGAAAAGUUGUUUUGCUAUAAUUAAGGGAGAGGAAAUUAUACUUCAUUUCAAUUCUAAAGCUUAGAUUGAGAUUUUAAUCAUCUUUAGUCAAGAAUAUAUAUAUGAAUUUUAUGUUGGAAUGGUUCAACUUGAAGAAAUUCUAUAUAUAUUGCGUUUUCAAAAUUCGAUUAUGAUUACGGCAUCCCUCUUCAUAGUUAAAUUUUGAAAACAUGGCAAAUAAAAAAUAUUGUAGCAAAAGACUGGUCUAGUAUCAUGUCUUUAUGUCAAACAUCAUGAAUCGUGUCCCAUAUGCUUCGGAUAUAGGAUCGAUUGCAUGUGCUAUAAUAUUCAUCUUUUCUAAAUUUUCCAAAUGCUUAAGGCAUUGAGAAGGGAAAAGUCUAGAACUGGAUAUGACUAAAGUGAUUAAGCAAUUGUCGAGGACAAUCUGAGGUUCGCCAAAGAUUGGUUGCUCAGGGAAAGUUGGAAGUAUGAUGUAAGUUGUCGGAAAGGACCAUAUUGACAUAUUCUGAAAAGAAGUAACUCUUGUUCGGAAGUGAUAGUCAAAAUGGGACUAUGGAAAUGUCUCCAUAGGUGGAAGUUAUUCAAUCUAUGUAAGAUUAGAAAACCUUAAUGCAAGAAGGAUGUUCAAAGCAAUGUACUUUGAAUAUGAGACUUCCGUUCCAUAGAAGUUGACCUUCUUUGGAAUACUCUGUAAUGACUGGUGACAAGGUUUUGGUGACUUUGUGCAUAAUCAUUACAAGAGGAACAUUGCAUAAAAGUUUAAAAUCUAACAGUUUUUUUGGUAAAUGAUAGGAAUCGGGGAUUCUCACAUUUACAAUAAGGAUUUGGGAUUGUGAAAUGAGUAUCAUUGGAAUCAUGUUCAAUUGAUCUACAUCACAAUGUAAGGAUCAUAGACAAACAUAGUGUGCAUACUUGGAGUAUGGCAUAACUAUUGUUUAGAAAAACAAAGUGUACAUGCUAGGAGCAUGGGACGACUGUUGUUUUUAUUCAAGUCUUAAGUUGAUUGUUUGAAACAUUAUACAAUGAAUAAUGUGUAAUCAAUAUGGUGAUAAAUAAAAGGUGGUUCUAUUUAUAUUCAAAAGGGUUCUGAGACCAUAUUGGAUUCGAUUAUUAUUGUGUUUCACUUUGCAUGUUUUGACUUCCAAAAUAGCUAGGUUAUUCUUUCCGAAUGACUAAGUUAUUUAAACACUCCACAGUCGUUCAUAUGUUGGAAGUAGGUAUGAAUCAAGACUGUCAUGAAUCGAGUUUGUAGAUGGCUAAAUGGGUUUAGUCAUAGCAAUGGUUGCUACAACAUUCAUGAGUGCUCAUAAGUUAUGAGUAUUGGAAUAAACCCACGCUCACUUGUAUCACUUCAUGGAAUUUAUCUCGAGUGAUCGUGAGACGGUAAUAUCAUAUAAAUCUUCAAACCUAGAGAUAUGAGUUGUUACCUAUGAGUUGGUUGUGCAUUGAUUGCACGUAAACGCAUCAGUAACUUGAUGUUAUAAAACGUGCCUUUGUGUACAAUUCAACAAGUAGUAGAACAAGCAUAUGAGUCGAAGUUUAUCUGUUCCUUCUAGAAAUAGAAGCGAUAUCUGGGCCCCUCGAUGAUUUUGUUGUGACCUAUGUACCGGCCGGUCAGAACUAAAUUGAUGUGUUCGAUUAAGUUCUUUGUCAAACAAAUCGAAAAUCGGGAAACAAACUGCUGGACAAUAAGUACGACGUUGUUCCAUGUAUUUGUCCGGCUGAUAUCAUGAGAACAGAGGAUUAUAUGAUCACUUAUCUAAAAUGGCGCUUCAUAGUUCAACAGAGUUUUCGAGAGCUACGAUUGCUGGUUGGUUCCUGAAGUAACAUACGCAAAUAUAGUUAUUAGACUUAUCCAAGUGGGAGUCUGUUGGAUAAGGUGUCUAAGUCCAUAACUUAUUUGGUACAUACUUGACCCGACCCGGCAUGGUCCAUUUGGGUUGCACUUCACCCGAACUAUUUAUGGAUAAUUUUAUGAGAGUUAUACACAUAUGUUUAUUAAUAUAUUGUAAGUUAUAAUAUAUUAAUAUGAAGUUAUUUAAUUAGUCUUAGUCUUAAAUUAAUUAUGAAUUAAUUUAGAGAUUAAAAGGAAGACUAAUUAAAUUGUGGGCUAUUGUUUUAUAUGGUGUGGGCUAACACUCAUUUGUUAAUGGGCUAGGCUUAUAUGGAAGUCCAUGGAUGAUCCAUGGAGCUUUUAACCCAUGGAUCCUUGGAAAAGGAAAGGUCAUGGGUUAUUAGGGUUUCACCCUAACCAUGCACACUAUAUAAGCAUGCUUAUGUUGCAUGAAAUAGCCACUAGUGUGGUUUUGUGUGUGUGGCCGAGUUUCUAUGUGUGUAUACACUCUCUCAAAGUUUUCCAAGUGUUUGUGGUGAUUUGUGAUUCCAUUUGAGGCAUUCACACUAUUGGUGCUUGGCUCUCAAACUCCAAACAAUCAACCAUCAUCAAAAGGUAUGUAUUUCUACUAGUAGUUUUAUGAUUCAUAAUCCUUAUGCUAUGCUAGUUAGGAAGAAACCUUGGAAGUUAUUAUUUGCAUGUAUUUUAGAAGAAAACAUAGAUCCAAGGUUCAUUAGGGUUGCAUGCACACUUAGGAAGUGUUAGAUUGCUCAAAACCCAAUAGAAAUAACAUCUUAAAGCUUGCAUGGGGGCUUCCAUGGCCUUAAAGUUUACACCUUUAUGCCAUGAGAACCCUUCAAGGUCCUAGAUCUGGAGGUAUACUCACUUGGGACGUCUAUUUCCCAAAGAUCAUGCUUGUUGGGAAAAAAAACCCAAUAAAAUGACAAUAAGGAGAUCUAAGAACUUACUAAGCAAAUUUGAGACUUGCUUACCAGAAAGUGAAGAGAAUGAAAUGGUGUCUCUGGAUUCACUAGCUUCUUCUUGAAUCCCCAAGCUUCUCCUUCCUUCACAAGCUUCAACACACACAAAACUCACUCAAAAAUAACUCCCAAGCUCAAGAAUGCAUUAGGGUUUUGUGACUUAGGGUUUGGGACUUGGAGACUGGAAAUGAAGCUAGCAUGAGGGGAUUAAGGUGCUUAAAUAGGGUGCAAAACCCCGAAAUUAGGGUUUCACCCCUGCCAGCUUAGUCGUCGAGUUGAGGGAUCUCAAUUCAUCGAGUAGGUUUCUUAAAACCCGCACCUC